GACGAACGCUGGCGGCGUGCCUAAUACAUGCAAGUCGAAAGCAGUGGGGACGGGUGAGUAACAAGUGGGUAACCUCCCAUCAGAGGGGAUAACACUUGGAAACAGGUGCUAAAACGAUACUGAUGGAUGGACCCGCGGUGCAUUAGCUAGUUGGUGGGGUAACGGCUCACCAAGGCAACGAUGCAUCGCCGACCUGGGAGGGUGAGCGGCCACACUGGGACUGAGACACGGCCCAGACUCCUACGUGAGGCAGCAUUAGGGAAUCUUCGGCAGUGGACGAAAUUCUGACCGGGCAACGCCGCGUGAGUGAAGAAGGUUUUCGGAUCGUAAAACUCUGUUGUUAGAGAAGCGGUAUCUAACCAGAAAGCCACGGCUAACUCCGUGCCAGCAGCCGCGGUAAUAC
RNAcentral lists this ribosomal RNA (403 nucleotides) under uncultured bacterium. RNAcentral's name for it is "partial 16S ribosomal RNA". It matches the Rfam family "Bacterial small subunit ribosomal RNA", at positions 28 to 526 of the family's 1533-position model. The record is from RNAcentral.